GCGAGCGGCGGAUGGGUGAGUAACACGAGGGGAACCUGCCCCAUAGCCUGGGAUACCACUUGGAAACAGGUGCUAAUACCGGAUAAGAAAGCAGAUCGCAUGAUCAGCUUUUAAAAGGCGGCGUAAGCUGUCGCUAUGGGAUGGCCCCGCGGUGCAUUAGCUAGUUGGUAAGGUAAAGGCUUACCAAGGCGAUGAUGCAUAGCCGAGUUGAGAGACUGAUCGGCCACAUUGGGACUGAGACACGGCCCAAACUCCUACGGGAGGCAGCAGUAGGGAAUCUUCCACAAUGGACGCAAGUCUGAUGGAGCAACGCCGCGUGAGUGAAGAAGGUUUUCGGAUCGUAAAGCUCUGUUGUUGGUGAAGAAGGAUAGAGGUAGUAACUGGCCUUUAUUUGACGGUAAUCAACCAGAAAGUCACGGCUAACUACGUGCCAGCAGCCGCGGUAAUACGUAGGUGGCAAGCGUUGUCCGGAUUUAUUGGGCGUAAAGCGAGCGCAGGCGGAAGAAUAAGUCUGAUGUGAAAGCCCUCGGCUUAACCGAGGAACUGCAUCGGAAACUGUUUUUCUUGAGUGCAGAAAGAGGAGAGUGGAACUCCAUGUUGUAGCGGUGGAAUGCGUAGAUAUAUGGAAGAACACCAAGUGGCGAAAGGCGGCUCUUCUGGUCUGCAACUGACGCU
This 675-nucleotide ribosomal RNA is filed under the name uncultured bacterium. Its description in RNAcentral is "bacterial SSU rRNA". It matches the Rfam family "Bacterial small subunit ribosomal RNA", at positions 91 to 747 of the family's 1533-position model. The record is from RNAcentral.